GCGCGAAAACUUUACAAUGCGAGCAAUCGUGAUAAGGAAACCCUGAGUGCCUGUAUAUGCAGGCUGUCUGGGUGUCUAAAACACACCUAAAGAAAGGGCCGGGCAAGACCGGUGCCAGCCGCCGCGGUAAUACCGGCGGCUCGAGUGGUGGCCACUUUUAUUGGGCUUAAAGCGUUCGUAGCUGGGUUAUUAAGUCCCUUGGGAAAUCCGACGGCUUAACCGUCGGGCGUCUAAGGGAUACUGGCAAUCUUGGAACCGGGAGAGGUGAGGGGUACUUCGGGGGUAGGAGUGAAAUCCUGUAAUCCUCGAGGGACCACCUGUGGCGAAGGCGCCUCACCAGAACGGCUUCGACAGUGAGGGACGAAAGCUGGGGGAGCAAACCGGAUUAGAUACCCGGGUAGUCCCAGCCGUAAACGAUGUGCGUUAGGUGUAUCGGUGACCACGAGUCACCGAGGUGCCGAAGGGAAACCGUGAAACGUACCGCCUGGGAAGUACGGUCGCAAGGCUGAAACUUAAAGGAAUUGGCGGGGGAGCACCACAACAGGUGGAGCCUGCGGUUUAAUUGGACUCAACGCCGGAAAUCUCACCGGAUAAGACAGCUGAAUGAUUGUCGGGCUGAAGACUCUACAUGACUAGCU
This 638-nucleotide ribosomal RNA is filed under the name uncultured Methanoculleus sp. RNAcentral's name for it is "bacterial SSU rRNA". It matches the Rfam family "Archaeal small subunit ribosomal RNA", at positions 339 to 981 of the family's 1478-position model. Lineage: Archaea; Methanobacteriati; Methanobacteriota; Methanomicrobia; Methanomicrobiales; Methanomicrobiaceae. The record is from RNAcentral.